RNAcentral lists this ribosomal RNA (432 nucleotides) under Triticum aestivum (bread wheat). RNAcentral's name for it is "partial small subunit ribosomal RNA". The record is from RNAcentral. Lineage: Eukaryota; Viridiplantae; Streptophyta; Magnoliopsida; Poales; Poaceae.
AUGAUCAGCUCCAGGAAGCUAGCUCAACUUUCCAAGAAGUGGCAGGGCAUUGGCGCCAUCGGGCGAAGGUUCGCAACGUCAGACAAGGAUAUCCACCCAUCAUGCAGCUCAGUCGCAGGCAAGGGCCACUUCGUCGUCUACUCUUCCGACGGGAGGCGGUUCGAGAUCCCCCUGGUGUGCCUCCGCACAACAGUCUUCGAGGAGCUCCUGAGGAUGUCUCAGGAGGAGUUUGGGUUCACAAGCGAUGGGAGGAUCACGCUGCCUUGUGAUACAACGACAAUGGAAUAUGUGAUGUGUUUGCUAAGGAGAGAGGCCUCCCAAGAUGUUGAGAGGGCACUCCUCAGUUCCAUAGUGACGACUUGCCACCGCCCAAGCAGAGUGAUGCAACCAAACAGCGGACUUAACCAGCAAUUCGCUGUGCACAGCUCCUGA